AUUUGCGCUUUCAGAGCUGAAAACAAACCAGAGCUCGAAAGUCUCUGCUUCACCAUCUCCGUGCUUGUAACAGGCUGGUGGACUUGGUGCUGGGGACGGCCUUUGCCCUUUGGCUCCGUUAAAAUGAUUAUUCUGGCCCCAUCACAGAAGCCCUGACUCGAACGGCCUAAACGUUGGUGCACCGGGUUGGGUGAGGAAAGACGGAGGUAGCACACCAUCUAGCAAUCUGGACAGCUAUAGGAGCAGAUCCGCCGCUCGCAACAGCUGACGGAGCGGCGACUGCGGAGCCCGAGGCGGCGGCACACGUCCGACCCGUCCUCCCGCCGCCGCGCUGGGGGCAGCCGGAGCUGCAGCCAGGAGCGGAUCCUACCGCGCGGGGCACCACCCCGCCGGCCGCAGGACGGGGACGGGCGCAGGCCGCGGCCAGGGGGACCCAGCCGCGUCCACUCGUCCGACCUUGCCGCGUUCAGCGUGCACCGACUACCGGGCUGCAGGCCUCCCCGGCCGCCGGCCCCACCCGGCCGCACCCCGGGCUGCGCGGCGUCACAGAGCGCAUGCGUGCCGCGGGGGAUGCCGGGAGCGCGCAGUGGCGGCAGCGGCGGCGACGGCAGUAACAGCGGCCGCUCGAGCGGGGACACCGGCGGGGCGGUGACCGUGUGGGAGGUGGUCUCACUCUUGGGGAAACUGCUGGGGACCGUCGCCGCGCUGAAGGUGGUUCUGUACCUGCUCCGGGUGUGCUUCGCGAUGGCCUGGAAAUCCGGCGGCGCCAGCCACUCGGAGCUAAUCCACAACCUCCGCAAAAAUGGAAUCAUCAAGACAGAUAAAGUAUUUGAAGUGAUGCUGGCUACAGACCGCUCCCACUAUGCAAAAUCUAACCCUUACAUGGAUUCUCCUCAAUCAAUAGGUUUCCAAGCAACAAUCAGUGCUCCUCAUAUGCAUGCAUACGCACUAGAACUCCUGUUUGACCAGUUGCAUGAAGGUGCUAAAGCCCUUGAUGUAGGGUCUGGAAGUGGAAUCCUUACCUCGUGCUUUGCCCGGAUGGUUGGACAUAGCGGAAAAGUUAUUGGAAUUGAUCACAUUAAAGAACUAGUAGAUGACUCAAUAAACAAUGUCAAAAAAGAUGACCCGAUGCUUCUGUCCUCGGGGCGAGUGCGGCUGGUUGUGGGUGAUGGAAGAAUGGGAUACCCUGAAGAAGCCCCUUAUGAUGCUAUUCACGUAGGAGCUGCAGCACCAGUUGUGCCCCAGGCACUAAUAGACCAGCUGAAGCCUGGUGGAAGAUUGAUAUUGCCAGUCGGUCCAGCAGGUGGAAACCAAAUGCUGGAGCAGUAUGACAAGCUACAAGAUGGCAGUGUCAAGAUGAAGCCUCUCAUGGGGGUGAUAUACGUGCCUUUAACAGACAAAGAGAAGCAGUGGUCCAGUUGCUGGUCCAGUGCUGCACGUGGCUGAGUGAGUGGUUUCUUUGGAGCUGGUAGAGCUGCCUUAGGAAAUCAGCCGACAGGUAUGAACUGUAAAGGCAACAUGAGCUUGACCAGUCUAUAACAUUGCAGUGGAUUGCUCAUCUCGGUCCUUAAAGCAUUUGAAAACCAACAGCAUCAGCUUGUUUUGGACUUCGUUACACUCUUAUUUUCAGCAUGAAAAUGUGUGGUUUUGUAGGGUUUCCUAAUUCAAAGAGGUGCAGAGCCAAACUGGUAGAGGCUGGCUGCAAAGCAUAACUUUGUGUGUGGUUUUAACACGCCCACAUCUUACUUUAAAAAUAUUAAAAGAAAGGGUUCUCCAACUGGAAAGCUUCAUUUGUGAUUUAGUUUUGAAGAGUGGCUUUGCUUUUCUUGGACACUUAAUUCAGUUCCAAUAUUAUUUAUCAGAUUUCUUUUGUGCAUCAGAUAACACCACGUUCAUAAGUUAGGUUUCUUGGUAGCUAAUAUUUGUUAGCUGCUACUAAGACAAUAGAGAUGAGCUUUCUUCUUAAAGCUUUUGUUGUGGCGUCAUAGGAUCGCAUGUUGUAGAUACAGUCAGCUGCUGUUACCCUAAAACCAGGUGUUUGUAAAUACUGAAACUUAAGACGAUGGCAGGUGGCCCCCAGUGCGGCCGUUCAGGUUGGACAUCUCUGGUGAACUGUCCUCUCUGAAGAUGAUAGGAGGCUUGUAGCUCACCCAUCGUUUUUUUGUUUCUAGUUUGCUGCUGAUAAUGUAUCUGCAUCUAACACUGUAAGCUGCUGCGUCCCUGCAGUUUAUGCAGUGCUGCUUUGCCAAAUAAAAUUAAAAGCAAAAGAA
RNA transcript from Meriones unguiculatus (Mongolian gerbil), 2270 nucleotides. It is a transcript of the gene named protein-L-isoaspartate (D-aspartate) O-methyltransferase, with no coding region annotated. The transcript is spliced from 9 exons. NCBI's taxonomy places the organism in Eukaryota, Metazoa, Chordata, Mammalia, Rodentia, Muridae. The record is from RefSeq and is a predicted model, not a curated record.